UACGUAGGGAGCGAGCGUUGUCCGGAAUUACUGGGUGUAAAGGGAGCGUAGGCGGGAUCGCAAGUCAGAUGUGAAAACUAUGGGCUUAACCCAUAGACUGCAUUUGAAACUGCGGUUCUUGAGUGAAGUAGAGGUAAGCGGAAUUCCUAGUGUAGCGGUGAAAUGCGUAGAUAUUAGGAGGAACAUCGGUGGCGAAGGCGGCUUACUGGGCUUUUACUGACGCUGAGGCUCGAAAGCGUGGGGAGCAAACAGG
Molecule: ribosomal RNA, 253 nt
Filed under: uncultured bacterium
Lineage: Bacteria
Description: partial 16S ribosomal RNA
Rfam family: Bacterial small subunit ribosomal RNA
Source: RNAcentral